This 973-nucleotide ribosomal RNA is filed under the name Proasellus coxalis. RNAcentral describes it as "16S ribosomal RNA". It matches the Rfam family "Bacterial large subunit ribosomal RNA", at positions 714 to 2700 of the family's 2925-position model. Lineage: Eukaryota; Metazoa; Arthropoda; Malacostraca; Isopoda; Asellidae. The record is from RNAcentral.
CCCGAAGCAAGAAGAGUUAACUUAGAAAAAGAUUAGCAUGGUAGAGUUAUCUUAAAUCUUGGUUAGAGGCGAUAUGCUAUUCAAUUCUUGUAUAUCUGGUUUAGCUGGUUAUAAUUUAAUUUUGCGCUCUUAUUUAUUUAUUUUGGGCGAAUACAGUAAAGGGGUAAGCUCUUUACAGUUGUGUGUCUUUAAAUACUAAAGAAGAUUUAAUAAUUUAAUCUUUAUAAAUAUAAAAUUUUAAACUACAACUAUAUAGCUAGACUUAAAAUCUAUUUUUCAAGCAGAUAAUAAAUAUAUUAGUAAAAUAUUACACAAAAAAUAUUAAGUAAAAUUUAUAUAACUUUUUUUUUAUAAAGAGCUCUGAAAGAACUCGGCAAAGCUAGUUUCGCAUGUUUAACAAAAACAUCUCCUGAGAAUUCUUAGGUAACCCCUGCCCCAUGAACAGUUUAAAUGGCCGCAGUACUUUGACUGUGCAAAGGUAGCAUAAUCACUUGCUUCAUAAUUAGGAGCUGGAAUGAAGGGGGCGACGAAAUCUAGACUAUUUGUGAAAUAAUGUAAAUUGACAUUGUGGUCAAAAGGCCACAAUAUAUCAAAGGGACGAUAAGACCCUAUAAAACUUUACCCUUAGACCUAGAUUUGUUUAGAAAUAAUCUGCCAUAAGGGUUGAACUGGGGCGGUAUUUAUACAAACAAUCUUAUAGUAAAUAUUUUACAUAAAUUUAAAGAACUCUAUUAGGAAAAUUAGAAUAAGUUACUUUAGGGAUAACAGCAUAAUUCUCCCCGAAAGUACUAAUUGGCGGGAGAGCUUAUGACCUCGAUGUUGAAUUGGGGCCCCUCAUAUAAGCAGAAGUAUAUGUAGGCAGUCUGUUCGACUAUUGUACCCCCACAUGAUUUGAGUUCAGACCGGCGCAAGCCAGGUUGGUUUCUAUCUUUUGGAAAGAAGGGCUCGGGGUUGUACGAAAGGACCCCUCGGG